GUGCGCGUAGGAGACGAGACGUACGAAUUAAAUCAGUCGAGGGAAGGAUAAACGUUAGAAAGGAAUUAAAGAGAAAACGAGAGUUUAUGUAAAAGAGAGUUAUAGAAUUUAUAGUGAUGUUUUGUUUUAAUUAGAAAAAUGUUGAGAGUUGUUUCAGAACGACACGUCAGUGGACGUGGCAGAGUGAACACGUGACGGGGAGGUGCUGAGACCUAGCGGAGAACGGAGGAACCGCAAGCGAGGGUUGGCGCACCUGAUGGAAUUCGGUGACGUCACGGGCUCAUACGGAGACGUGGACAGGCCGUGACCUUGUUUUGAUCAGCUGUACGGUAACUUAGCGAUAAGAAAAUAGACUAUUGGUUAAAUAAAUUUAAAUUUAAGUGUGUUUUAGGAGAAGAGGAACUUUCAGUAUAUUCCUUAAGAUGAGCUGAGCAGCAGUCCAGUUUACAAGAUGACAAGAGUUCGAGAGACAAGAUACAAGAUCACUGAAACAAGAGCCAAGACUGAAGAUUCAAGAGAAGAGAAAGCUGGCAGCCAUGGACUUACAAGUGGAGAUUAAUAAGGUCAUGUAAAGUUUUAUUUUUUUUUAUGGAAGACAGUAACUGGAGUUUUUUUUUUGUUAUAAACAUUAUUUACAGAACUUUUUAGGUUAUAGUAAUGUAAUGGAACUAGUGAGUUGUGGUAGCUGUCAAAAAGAACUAAUACCUUAAGUUUAAUUUUUAAAGUUAAUUUUCUUAAUUUACAGAGGGAUUAGUAGUUUUUUUAAACCUUAUUUAGGUUGGAAUUUAAAUACAAUAGCUUAUUAUAAAUGUGUACGAACAGUUCAAGUUCACAGUACUGAUAGGUAGGUCAGAUGAUCUUAUUGAUUUUGAUGAUUUGUUGUUUUGAGUUGAUUUUUAAGUGUUGUGAAUUAGACAAUGAAAUAGUUCUGAAAACUUAAAUUAUUUCAAGCUAAGAAAUAGUAAAGUUAAUUGUAACUCAAAGGACACCAGAAUUUAAUUUUUUUUUAAUUAGUAAUGUUUGAAAAUUUUAUACUUUACAAGAAAGGUUAUAAACAAACAGAUCGGAUGGAACAAGGAUGCAGUAAAUCACAAUUUCAUUUAGAAUUAUUGAUUAGCUUUUGAGGUUAUGAAGUAAAAGUAAUUAUAAUUUAAAAGUUUGAAUAAAAAAAUGUUUUUUUUAUUUGUUUGAAAUAGAAAAUUUAAAAGUUAAUUAGUCAUGAUCUAGGUGGGUGAUGGGGUGGGAAUUGGCCACUCUUUUUCCCUAUAACCUCCCUAACAUGGCCUUCUAUUACAACUAACAGAAAUAAAGAAGAAGAAAAAUGAAGAAUUAUUAGUUAGAAUGUUUCUUUCAUGAAGAUACCUGAUGAACUUUUACUGUUUGGAAGAAUAGAAGCAAGGUUAGUCAGAUAUUUUUACUCAGAAGAAGAAGAAGAUAAAGCAGUUUUAUGACUCGACAAGCCAGAGAUUGGUGUUUCCCCUCUGCGCUUCUAUUGACUACGUUGUUUACUCUCAUGGGAUAGCUGGUUCGGCACCAUGGAGAGAGAUUGGUGGGCAUUGUGGUUGCCCCCAGAAGAAAAGAAGAGUAGAAGAGGUUAUGGGUGGGUCAUGUGAACUGACCUUCAACCCAGUUACUUCGUGGGGACUAUUUGCUGUAUAGAGAAGAUCAAGACUCAAGAGUUAGGGAAAAUCAUUGGAGGUCAUGUUUCCCUUCCUUAAGUUUUUCCUAUCAAAUUAUUUGCCUGAUUAGAUUAUGCUAAGGGUGGGAUACUUUAUGUUAGCAGUUGAAUUAAUUAAUUUUAUUUUUUUGUGUGUUUGCAUCCUUGCCCAUCGAUUGCAGUUUAGUAGUUAGUUUUGUAUUUGUCAGGCGUGAUGGUAAUGCCUGUUGAUGAUGUUUCAGAAUUGUAAUCUGUUCGUGAUGAGGAUGGCACAACUCCGAAGCAGAUGUGGGGAGAAGUUGUGAGCUGCCCUGGAAGCCAGUCCAGUAGCUGUUGGAGUUGAGUGGUGUUUGCUGAUGGCCAGCCCAGGGAGCUACUCUUCUCGACAACACUGACUUCGAGGAGUUGCACCAACCUUCACGAGAUAAGAGUUUAAUUAAUUGAAACACUGUAAGGACACUUAAUUUUUUUUGAAGAACGAAAGAAGUAUGGUAAUAAACGGAAACCGAAAAAAAAAAA
Molecule: long non-coding RNA, 2176 nt
Organism: Bacillus rossius redtenbacheri
Lineage: Eukaryota; Metazoa; Arthropoda; Insecta; Phasmatodea; Bacillidae
Exons: 2
Source: RefSeq, a predicted model, not a curated record